This 351-nucleotide ribosomal RNA is filed under the name uncultured bacterium. RNAcentral's name for it is "bacterial SSU rRNA". It matches the Rfam family "Bacterial small subunit ribosomal RNA", at positions 22 to 356 of the family's 1533-position model. The record is from RNAcentral.
GCUCAGGAUGAACGCUGGCGGCGUGCUUAACACAUGCAAGUCGAACGGGAAAUAUUUCAUUGAGACUUCGGUGGAUUUGAUCUAUUUCUAGUGGCGGACGGGUGAGUAACGCGUGGGUAACCUGCCUUAUACAGGGGGAUAACAGUCAGAAAUGGCUGCUAAUACCGCAUAAGCGCACAGAGCUGCAUGGCUCGGUGUGAAAAACUCCGGUGGUAUAAGAUGGACCCGCGUUGGAUUAGCUUGUUGGUGGGGUAACGGCCCACCAAGGCGACGAUCCAUAGCCGGCCUGAGAGGGUGAACGGCCACAUUGGGACUGAGACACGGCCCAGACUCCUACGGGAGGCAGCAGUA